This 589-nucleotide long non-coding RNA is filed under the name Anser brachyrhynchus (Pink-footed goose). Its description in RNAcentral is "lncRNA (ENSABRG00000012632.1)". Lineage: Eukaryota; Metazoa; Chordata; Aves; Anseriformes; Anatidae. The record is from RNAcentral.
AUGUGCCUACACCAGGAUUUCUCCUGCUAUAUUUUUAGAGAGCUUGGUGUUUAUCUAGCAACAAUGUUGACCUCAUUGCUGCCAGAAAGAGUAGUUCACGUAGGAUGUCCAGAAACCAAUCCAGGGAAAGCCCAUGAUCUACGGUUUCCUAAUUCCUGUUUCCAGCUGCCUUCAUUGUGGAAAAGAGGAAGAUAUACUACUUGCAUCAGCUGUACCCUCCUUGGAACAGGGUGAAAGCCACUUAAUAAGUGGGAUUCAGCAGCUGAAGCACAGGUGUGUAGUGAGUGACAUUGCAGCUCCUGGUGUUCAAGAUAUCCAUGUCAGGAUGGCCAAAAUGCCACAGGGCUGACAAGAAGCCCAUAUCCUUCCUGUAAGGCACACAGAGCGGAGACAGAAUACACUCUACAGUAUCUAAAAUGUUGCUUAGAUUCAUCUAAAAGAUAAUUUGGUAUAAAAACCUUUCUGUUCUCAUAUUUUUUUCUGCAAUUUCUCUAUUUUCAUAAGCUAUCUGUUCUGUGAAAAACAAACAAGGAAAAAAAAGCAAUAGAAAUGAAGGUUGAAAAUUAAAAUAAAAAUAAAAUAAAGAGCA